GAGAUGCCUGAUGCAAGGGUGAGGAUUCCUCAUCUCUUGAGGUUUUAAAAUGGGAUUAGACCUUGUUCUAAAUCUCAGGCAGGAGGUAGGUUUUUGUAGCAGGAAUCACUACGAGAAAUUCUACAGUCUCGUUCAGGUGGGGGAUAUGACUAAAUUGUCAUAAUAACCCUUUCUAGCCUAAACAUCUAUGAGGAGGAUGGGACAACACUGCCCAGGACCUCUGUCCAGUUAAGAAUCUAUGUCGCUGUCCAACUGCUUGACUUUCACUAGGGUACUACCUCUGGACUCUGCCUGUUACCUUCAGCCAAGAUGGGCUAAAAUUUCAAAAUCUGGAUCUGAAGUGCUGAUGGUGCCAAAAUGCAAGAGUACCUGGAUGCGUGGUUUUGGCUCAGCCAAGUCUUACUGAUCUCCCUGGAUCUUUUGAAGAAUGAGAUGGGUUUGAAGAAGAGGAUGACAAGUGCAAGGAGAUCAGGUCUACGAAGAAAUCCAGAAAGACAGCUAUCGUCUUUCACGGUACUUCUGGAAGCAGAGAGAGUCAGUGGAAGAUGCCUUCGAGUUGAGACGGAGGGGGACGGUUUUUUCCUGUUUAUUUUGGGGGAGAGAGAAGUCACAGAAAACAUUAUAGCCAAGGAAAAAAAAAAGGUCUGGAGCUGAGAGGAGUCCUCGAAACACUGUAAGAAAUGAGAACUUUUUUUUCUCUUUUUUUAAAGGGAGGGAAUUUGUAAUUUGCCAAAAGUUCUUCUACUUCUAAUGUCUGUCAACAGGCCACUGAACUUCUAUAGCAUUAAUUUUUCUCUCCCUGAUUCUCAGGUACUUCACACUCAGCUACAGAGUCCAUGAGACAAAGUUAUACCUAUGCUAAUCUAGGGUAACCUCAAGGAAGUAACUCUGGAUUGAAAGGGUUAUAACUGAGGCUAUGUCUACACUAUGGACUUCUGCUGGCAUCGCUGUGUUGAUCAGGGGUUUGAAGAGGAGUUUGAACAACAGAACUAUGCCCAACAGAAGCCCCUAGUGUAGAUGCAUUUUACUGAUAAAGCUCUACUUUUAUUGGUAUAGCUCAUUUCACUUGGGGUGAUUUUAUUAUACCAGUACUAAGCAUAGCUUUGCUGGUAUAUCUGUGUCCACACCUGAAGCAUUUGGCCUGUAUAGCAAACUGUUUUUUCUAUAAUAGUUAAGUCCUACUCGACAGAGCUAUAAUAUAGAAUUUACCCCUUUCAUCUCCUAAGGCUAUAUAAACACUAUCGUUCUGACUAUGCACCUAUCAAAUGCAUGUGGCAGAAAAAAUAGUGCCAUAUGAAUGUAUACAGUACAUAUACAACUGUAGUACAGUAUAUCACCUCAUUUGAGAGAAGCCUGCAACAUGAAUAAAAACAUUAAAAAAAUAAUAAUCA
This 1391-nucleotide long non-coding RNA is filed under the name Crocodylus porosus (Australian saltwater crocodile). RNAcentral describes it as "lncRNA (ENSCPRG00005003839.1)". Lineage: Eukaryota; Metazoa; Chordata; Crocodylia; Crocodylidae. The record is from RNAcentral.